Molecule: ribosomal RNA, 406 nt
Filed under: Klebsiella pneumoniae
Lineage: Bacteria; Pseudomonadati; Pseudomonadota; Gammaproteobacteria; Enterobacterales; Enterobacteriaceae
Description: partial 23S ribosomal RNA
Rfam family: Bacterial large subunit ribosomal RNA
Source: RNAcentral
CCCAAAGCGUAACGGAGGAGCACGAAGGUUAGCUAAUCCUGGUCGGACAUCAGGAGGUUAGUGCAAUGGCAUAAGCUAGCUUGACUGCGAGCGUGACGGCGCGAGCAGGUGCGAAAGCAGGUCAUAGUGAUCCGGUGGUUCUGAAUGGAAGGGCCAUCGCUCAACGGAUAAAAGGUACUCCGGGGAUAACAGGCUGAUACCGCCCAAGAGUUCAUAUCGACGGCGGUGUUUGGCACCUCGAUGUCGGCUCAUCACAUCCUGGGGCUGAAGUAGGUCCCAAGGGUAUGGCUGUUCGCCAUUUAAAGUGGUACGCGAGCUGGGUUUAGAACGUCGUGAGACAGUUCGGUCCCUAUCUGCCGUGGGCGCUGGAGAAUUGAGGGGGGCUGCUCCUAGUACGAGAGGACCG